UGUGCAAAAAAACGACAUCGAGAUUUUUGAAAUGAAAACAAUUUACGUGUUAAUUACAACAAAAACUUUAUCUGUAUAGAUUUUUGAAAAAUCCAGAUAAUUAUCCAGAUUUUACUUUCUCUCGAUAGAAAACAGUACUGCCAAGGUACAUUACACUUAUUAAAUGUCAGAUUCCAAUAAACGACAGCUGCAGUUGACAGAUAUAUGACAAAAAAAAAUUUAAUAUUUAAAAUUGAAUUCAAUUAGGAAUAACAAACAACACAAAUCAAUGAUUCACGUGUUUGCAAGAGUGCGAUAUCUUCCCCAAAAUUAAAGAAAAAAACCUGAAAAGGAGAUGGAAAGAAUUAUUUCACAAAAGAAGAAUUCUGUGUACUAUGCGCUUGGGUCUUAAUCGUGUCGGUACCUUCAACCCUCACAGCCAAAAUGUAAUGUCAAAUGCUCUUGGAAUGCGCGCUCGUUUGCGAAAACGUCUAUUCUUAGACGAUCAACAUGAAUAAAUGAUAACAAAGCUCUUGUUGUUAAUAAAUUGCAUCGUUAGAAUGCCCACCACAAAAA
Episyrphus balteatus (marmalade hoverfly) is the source of this 555-nucleotide long non-coding RNA. RefSeq lists it as uncharacterized. Lineage: Eukaryota; Metazoa; Arthropoda; Insecta; Diptera; Syrphidae. The transcript is spliced from 3 exons. The record is from RefSeq and is a predicted model, not a curated record.